AACGGAGGAAGGUGGGGAUGACGUCAAGUCCUCAUGGCCCUUAUAGGUGGGGCUACACACGUCAUACAAUGGCUGGUACAAAGGGUUGCCAACCCGCGAGGGGGAGCUAAUCCCAUAAAGCCAGUCGUAGUCCGGAUCGUAGUCUGCAACUCGACUACGUGAAGUCGGAAUCGCUAGUAAUCGUGGAUCAGAAUGUCACGGUGAAUACGUUCCCGGGUCUU
Molecule: ribosomal RNA, 221 nt
Filed under: uncultured Rhodoferax sp.
Lineage: Bacteria; Pseudomonadati; Pseudomonadota; Betaproteobacteria; Burkholderiales; Comamonadaceae
Description: partial 16S ribosomal RNA
Rfam family: Bacterial small subunit ribosomal RNA
Source: RNAcentral